RNAcentral lists this ribosomal RNA (1439 nucleotides) under uncultured organism. RNAcentral's name for it is "16S ribosomal RNA". It matches the Rfam family "Bacterial small subunit ribosomal RNA". The record is from RNAcentral.
CAGGCUUAACACAUGCAAGUCGAGGGGCAGCAUGGUCUUAGCUUGCUAAGGCCGAUGGCGACCGGCGCACGGGUGAGUAACACGUAUCCAACCUGCCGUCUACUCUUGGACAGCCUUCUGAAAGGAAGUUUAAUACAAGAUGGCAUCAUGAGUCCGCAUGUUCACAUGAUUAAAGGUAUUCCGGUAGACGAUGGGGAUGCGUUCCAUUAGAUAGUAGGCGGGGUAACGGCCCACCUAGUCUUCGAUGGAUAGGGGUUCUGAGAGGAAGGUCCCCCACAUUGGAACUGAGACACGGUCCAAACUCCUACGGGAGGCAGCAGUGAGGAAUAUUGGUCAAUGGGCGAGAGCCUGAACCAGCCAAGUAGCGUGAAGGAUGACUGCCCUAUGGGUUGUAAACUUCUUUUAUAAAGGAAUAAAGUCGGGUAUGGAUACCCGUUUGCAUGUACUUUAUGAAUAAGGAUCGGCUAACUCCGUGCCAGCAGCCGCGGUAAUACAGAGGAUCCGAGCGUUAUCCGGAUUUAUUGGGUUUAAAGGGAGCGUAGAUGGAUGUUUAAGUCAGUUGUGAAAGUUUGCGGCUCAACCGUAAAAUUGCAGUUGAUACUGGAUAUCUUGAGUGCAGUUGAGGCAGGCGGAAUUCGUGGUGUAGCGGUGAAAUGCUUAGAUAUCACGAAGAACUCCGAUUGCGAAGGCAGCCUGCUAAGCUGCAACUGACAUUGAGGCUCGAAAGUGUGGGUAUCAAACAGGAUUAGAUACCCUGGUAGUCCACACGGUAAACGAUGAAUACUCGCUGUUUGCGAUAUACGGCAAGCGGCCAAGCGAAAGCGUUAAGUAUUCCACCUGGGGAGUACGCCGGCAACGGUGAAACUCAAAGGAAUUGACGGGGGCCCGCACAAGCGGAGGAACAUGUGGUUUAAUUCGAUGAUAUGCGAGGAACCUUACCCGGGCUUAAAUUGCAGAUGAAUUACGGUGAAAGCCGUAAGCCGCAAGGCAUCUGUGAAGGUGCUGCAUGGUUGUCGUCAGCUCGUGCCGUGAGGUGUCGGCUUAAGUGCCAUAACGAGCGCAACCCUUGUUGUCAGUUACUAACAGGUUCCGCUGAGGACUCUGACAAGACUGCCAUCGUAAGAUGUGAGGAAGGUGGGGAUGACGUCAAAUCAGCACGGCCCUUACGUCCGGGGCUACACACGUGUUACAAUGGGGGGUACAGAGGGCCGCUACCACGCGAGUGGAUGCCAAUCCCCAAAACCUCUCUCAGUUCGGACUGGAGUCUGCAACCCGACUCCACGAAGCUGGAUUCGCUAGUAAUCGCGCAUCAGCCACGGCGCGGUGAAUACGUUCCCGGGCCUUGUACACACCGCCCGUCAAGCCAUGGGAGCCGGGGGUACCUGAAGUGCGUAACCGCGAGGAGCGCCCUAGGGUAAAACUGGUGACUGGGGCUAAGU